RNAcentral lists this ribosomal RNA (481 nucleotides) under uncultured Desulfosarcina sp. RNAcentral's name for it is "bacterial SSU rRNA". It matches the Rfam family "Bacterial small subunit ribosomal RNA", at positions 29 to 507 of the family's 1533-position model. The record is from RNAcentral. Lineage: Bacteria; Pseudomonadati; Thermodesulfobacteriota; Desulfobacteria; Desulfobacterales; Desulfosarcinaceae.
AUGAACGCUGGCGGCGUGCUUAACACAUGCAAGUCGCACGAGAACGUUUCAGCUUGCUGAAACUAGUAAAGUGGCGUACGGGUGAGUAACGCGUGGGUAAUCUACCUCCGAAUUGGGGAUAACAUUGCGAAAGCGAUGCUAAUACCGAAUGAUAUCUCAAUAACUCCGGUCUUUGAGAUCAAAGGUGGCCUCUCCAUGGAAGCUACUGUUUGGAGAUGAGCCCGCGUACCAUUAGCUUGUUGGUAGGGUAACGGCCUACCAAGGCGACGAUCGGUAGCUGGUUUGAGAGGAUGACCAGCCACACGGGGACUGAGACACGGCCCCGACUCCUACGGGAGGCAGCAGCAAGGAAUAUUGGGCAAUGGGCGAAAGCCUGACCCAGCGACACCGCGUGGGGGAAGAAGGCCCUUGGGUUGUAAACCCCUUUUAUCGGGGAAGAAUAAUGACGGUACCCGAUGAAUAAGCCUCGGCUAACUACGUG